This is a long non-coding RNA of Notothenia coriiceps (black rockcod), 422 nucleotides long. RefSeq lists it as uncharacterized. The transcript has 3 exons. NCBI's taxonomy places the organism in Eukaryota, Metazoa, Chordata, Actinopteri, Perciformes, Nototheniidae. The record is from RefSeq and is a predicted model, not a curated record.
CAGGACUGUAGGACUUUAUAUUUGUUUAACUUUUUGUGCUAUCCAUUUGGUUUUAAAGGACAAGAGCUCAAUAUUCCGAGCUCAGGCUGGGGACUUGAACGCAUCACCAGCAGCUCUCAGUGGAGCCGGGAUCACAAACGGGCAUGUUCACAUUUAAUUUACUGCAAUAAAAGGGAGAAUGGCGGCACUGUGGAAAUCCUACCAGGUGUUGAUGACCAAAUACCCCUGGAGUGUGCAGAUAGUGACUGCUGGUAGGGAAUAACCCCUCCUUUCGUACAUGCUGAUAACAUGCAUAUCCAAAAACUCCAAUUAACAGAGGUGGACGAAGUACUCAAGUCAAACGUUGCAAUACUACGGUGUAAAAAUACUGUCACAGUCAAGCAUUCAAAGUCUUAUUCAAGUUCAAUUAAAAAGGGAUUAUA